RNAcentral lists this ribosomal RNA (374 nucleotides) under uncultured organism. RNAcentral describes it as "bacterial SSU rRNA". It matches the Rfam family "Bacterial small subunit ribosomal RNA", at positions 526 to 896 of the family's 1533-position model. The record is from RNAcentral.
CGUAGGGGGCGAGCGUUGUCCGGAUUUAUUGGGCGUAAAGAGCUCGUAGGCGGUUUGGCAAGUCGGGUGUGAAAACUCCGGGCUCAACUCGGAGACGCCACUCGAUACUGCUAUGACUCGAGUCCGGUAGGGGAGUGCGGAAUUCCUGGUGUAGCGGUGAAAUGCGCAGAUAUCAGGAGGAACACCGGUGGCGAAGGCGGCACUCUGGGCCGGAACUGACGCUGAGGAGCGAAAGCGUGGGGAGCGAACAGGAUUAGAUACCCUGGUAGUCCACGCCGUAAACGUUGGGCACUAGGUGUGGGGCUCGAUCGACGGGCUCCGUGCCGUAGCUAACGCAUUAAGUGCCCCGCCUGGGAAGUACGGCCGCAAGGCUA